Molecule: ribosomal RNA, 253 nt
Filed under: uncultured bacterium
Lineage: Bacteria
Description: partial 16S ribosomal RNA
Rfam family: Bacterial small subunit ribosomal RNA
Source: RNAcentral
UACGAGGGGGGCGAGCGUUGUUCGGAAUUAUUGGGCGUAAAGGGUGCGUAGGCGGUUUGGUAAGUCUUAUGUGAAAUCUACAGGCUCAACUUGUAGUCUGCAUGAGAAACUGCCGGGCUUGAGUGUGGGAGAGGUGGGUGGAAUUCCUGGUGUAGCGGUGAAAUGCGUAGAUAUCAGGAGGAACACCUGUGGCGAAAGCGGCUCACUGGACCAUAACUGACGCUGAUGCACGAAAGCUAGGGGAGCAAACAGG